RNAcentral lists this ribosomal RNA (2666 nucleotides) under Escherichia coli. RNAcentral describes it as "partial 23S ribosomal RNA". It matches the Rfam family "Bacterial large subunit ribosomal RNA". The record is from RNAcentral. Lineage: Bacteria; Pseudomonadati; Pseudomonadota; Gammaproteobacteria; Enterobacterales; Enterobacteriaceae.
AGGUGAUAUGAACCGUUAUAACCGGCGAUUUCCGAAUGGGGAAACCCAGUGUGUUUCGACACACUAUCAUUAACUGAAUCCAUAGGUUAAUGAGGCGAACCGGGGGAACUGAAACAUCUAAGUACCCCGAGGAAAAGAAAUCAACCGAGAUUCCCCCAGUAGCGGCGAGCGAACGGGGAGGAGCCCAGAGCCUGAAUCAGUGUGUGUGUUAGUGGAAGCGUCUGGAAAGGCGCGCGAUACAGGGUGACAGCCCCGUACACAAAAAUGCACAUAUUGUGAGCUCGAUGAGUAGGGCGGGACACGUGGUAUCCUGUCUGAAUAUGGGGGGACCAUCCUCCAAGGCUAAAUACUCCUGACUGACCGAUAGUGAACCAGUACCGUGAGGGAAAGGCGAAAAGAACCCCGGCGAGGGGAGUGAAAAAGAACCUGAAACCGUGUACGUACAAGCAGUGGGAGCCUCUUUAUGGGGUGACUGCGUACCUUUUGUAUAAUGGGUCAGCGACUUAUAUUCUGUAGCAAGGUUAACCGAAUAGGGGAGCCGAAGGGAAACCGAGUCUUAACUGGGCGUUAAGUUGCAGGGUAUAGACCCGAAACCCGGUGAUCUAGCCAUGGGCAGGUUGAAGGUUGGGUAACACUAACUGGAGGACCGAACCGACUAAUGUUGAAAAAUUAGCGGAUGACUUGUGGCUGGGGGUGAAAGGCCAAUCAAACCGGGAGAUAGCUGGUUCUCCCCGAAAGCUAUUUAGGUAGCGCCUCGUGAAUUCAUCUCCGGGGGUAGAGCACUGUUUCGGCAAGGGGGUCAUCCCGACUUACCAACCCGAUGCAAACUGCGAAUACCGGAGAAUGUUAUCACGGGAGACACACGGCGGGUGCUAACGUCCGUCGUGAAGAGGGAAACAACCCAGACCGCCAGCUAAGGUCCCAAAGUCAUGGUUAAGUGGGAAACGAUGUGGGAAGGCCCAGACAGCCAGGAUGUUGGCUUAGAAGCAGCCAUCAUUUAAAGAAAGCGUAAUAGCUCACUGGUCGAGUCGGCCUGCGCGGAAGAUGUAACGGGGCUAAACCAUGCACCGAAGCUGCGGCAGCGACACUAUGUGUUGUUGGGUAGGGGAGCGUUCUGUAAGCCUGUGAAGGUGGCCUGUGAGGGUUGCUGGAGGUAUCAGAAGUGCGAAUGCUGACAUAAGUAACGAUAAAGCGGGUGAAAAGCCCGCUCGCCGGAAGACCAAGGGUUCCUGUCCAACGUUAAUCGGGGCAGGGUGAGUCGACCCCUAAGGCGAGGCCGAAAGGCGUAGUCGAUGGGAAACAGGUUAAUAUUCCUGUACUUGGUGUUACUGCGAAGGGGGGACGGAGAAGGCUAUGUUGGCCGGGCGACGGUUGUCCCGGUUUAAGCGUGUAGGCUGGUUUUCCAGGCAAAUCCGGAAAACCAAGGCUGAGGCGUGAUGACGAGGCACUACGGUGCUGAAGCGACAAAUGCCCUGCUUCCAGGAAAAGCCUCUAAGCAUCAGGUAACAUCAAAUCGUACCCCAAACCGACACAGGUGGUCAGGUAGAGAAUACCAAGGCGCUUGAGAGAACUCGGGUGAAGGAACUAGGCAAAAUGGUGCCGUAACUUCGGGAGAAGGCACGCUGAUAUGUAGGUGAAGCGACUUGCUCGUGGAGCUGAAAUCAGUCGAAGAUACCAGCUGGCUGCAACUGUUUAUUAAAAACACAGCACUGUGCAAACACGAAAGUGGACGUAUACGGUGUGACGCCUGCCCGGUGCCGGAAGGUUAAUUGAUGGGGUUAGCGGUAACGCGAAGCUCUUGAUCGAAGCCCCGGUAAACGGCGGCCGUAACUAUAACGGUCCUAAGGUAGCGAAAUUCCUUGUCGGGUAAGUUCCGACCUGCACGAAUGGCGUAAUGAUGGCCAGGCUGUCUCCACCCGAGACUCAGUGAAAUUGAACUCGCUGUGAAGAUGCAGUGUACCCGCGGCAAGACGGAAAGACCCCGUGAACCUUUACUAUAGCUUGACACUGAACAUUGAGCCUUGAUGUGUAGGAUAGGUGGGAGGCUUUGAAGUGUGGACGCCAGUCUGCAUGGAGCCGACCUUGAAAUACCACCCUUUAAUGUUUGAUGUUCUAACGUUGGCCCGUAAUCCGGGUUGCGGACAGUGUCUGGUGGGUAGUUUGACUGGGGCGGUCUCCUCCUAAAGAGUAACGGAGGAGCACGAAGGUUGGCUAAUCCUGGUCGGACAUCAGGAGGUUAGUGCAAUGGCAUAAGCCAGCUUGACUGCGAGCGUGACGGCGCGAGCAGGUGCGAAAGCAGGUCAUAGUGAUCCGGUGGUUCUGAAUGGAAGGGCCAUCGCUCAACGGAUAAAAGGUACUCCGGGGAUAACAGGCUGAUACCGCCCAAGAGUUCAUAUCGACGGCGGUGUUUGGCACCUCGAUGUCGGCUCAUCACAUCCUGGGGCUGAAGUAGGUCCCAAGGGUAUGGCUGUUCGCCAUUUAAAGUGGUACGCGAGCUGGGUUUAGAACGUCGUGAGACAGUUCGGUCCCUAUCUGCCGUGGGCGCUGGAGAACUGAGGGGGGCUGCUCCUAGUACGAGAGGACCGGAGUGGACGCAUCACUGGUGUUCGGGUUGUCAUGCCAAUGGCACUGCCCGGUAGCUAAAUGCGGAAGAGAUAAGUGCUGAA